GACGAACGCUGGCGGCGUGCCUAACACAUGCAAGUCGAACGGAAAGGCCCUGUUCCUGUGGGGCGCUCGAGUGGCGAAUGGGUGGGUAACACGUGAGUAACCUGCCCCUGACUUUGGGAUAACACCAGGAAACUGGGGCUAAUACCGGAUAGGAGCUCCUGCUGCAUUGUGGGGGUUGGACAGUUUCGGCGGUUGGGGAUGGACUCGCGGCUUUUCAGCUUGUUGGUGGGGUAGUGGCUUACCAAGGCUUUGACGGGUAGCCGGCCUGAGAGGGUGAACGGCCACAUUGGGACUGAGAUAAGGCCCAGACGACUACGGGGGGCAGCAGUGGGGAAUAUUGCACGAUGGGCGGAAGCCUGAUGCAGCAACGCCGCGUGCGGGAUGACGGCCUUAGGGUUGUAAACCGCUUUCGCCUGUGACGAAGCGUGAGUGACGGUAAUGGAUAAAGAAGCACCGGCUAACUACGUG
RNAcentral lists this ribosomal RNA (468 nucleotides) under uncultured bacterium. RNAcentral describes it as "partial 16S ribosomal RNA". It matches the Rfam family "Bacterial small subunit ribosomal RNA", at positions 28 to 507 of the family's 1533-position model. The record is from RNAcentral.